GAUGUGCUCGCGGCCUAUCAGCUUGUUGGUGGGGUAAUGGCCUACCAAGGCUUUGACGGGUAGCCGGCCUGAGAGGGUGACCGGCCACACUGGGACUGAGACACGGCCCAGACUCCUACGGGAGGCAGCAGUGGGGAAUAUUGGACAAUGGGCGGAAGCCUGAUCCAGCAACGCCGCGUGAGGGAUGACGGCCUUCGGGUUGUAAACCUCUUUCAGCACAGACGAAGUUGCUCCCACGUGUGGGGGUGGUGACGGUAUGUGCAGAAGAAGCACCGGCCAACUACGUGCCAGCAGCCGCGGUAAUACGUAGGGUGCGAGCGUUGUCCGGAAUUAUUGGGCGUAAAGGGCUCGUAGGCGGUUUGUCGCGUCGGGAGUGAAAUCCACUGGCUUAACUGGUGGCUUGCUUUCGAUACGGGCAGACUGGAGGUAUGCAGGGGAGAACGGAAUUCCUGGUGUAGCGGUGAAAUGCGCAGAUAUCAGGAGGAACACCGGUGGCGAAGCGGUUCUCUGGGCAUGUCCUGACGCUGAGGAGCGAAAGUGUGGGGAGCGAACAGGAUUAGAUACCCUGGUAGUCCACACCGUAAACGUUGGGCGCUAGUGU
This 601-nucleotide ribosomal RNA is filed under the name uncultured Actinomycetes bacterium. RNAcentral describes it as "bacterial SSU rRNA". It matches the Rfam family "Bacterial small subunit ribosomal RNA", at positions 224 to 822 of the family's 1533-position model. Lineage: Bacteria; Bacillati; Actinomycetota; Actinomycetes. The record is from RNAcentral.